CCUACGGGAGGCAGCAGUGUGGAAUAUUGGUCAAUGGGCGCGAGCCUGAACCAGCCAAGUCGCGUGAGGGAUGAAGGUUCUAUGGAUCGUAAACCUCGUUUAUAAGGGAAUAAAGGGUGGGACGUGUCCUAUUUUGUAUGUACCUUAUGAAUAAGGAUCGGCUAACUCCGUGCCAGCAGCCGCGGUAAUACGGAGGAUCCGAGCGUUAUCCGGAUUUAUUGGGUUUAACGGGUGCGGAGGCGGCCUUUUAAUUCAGCGUUGAAGGUCUGUGGCGCAACCAUAGAAUUGCCGUUGAAACUGGGGGGCUUGAGUAUGUUUGAGGCAGGCGGAAUGCGUGGUGUAGCGGGGAAAUGCUUAGAUAUCACGCAGAACCCCGAUUGCGAAGGCAGCCUGCCAAGCCAUGACUGACGCUGAUGCACGAAAGCGUGGGGAUCAAACAGGAUUAGAUACCCGGGUAGUC
RNAcentral lists this ribosomal RNA (460 nucleotides) under uncultured bacterium. RNAcentral's name for it is "partial 16S ribosomal RNA". It matches the Rfam family "Bacterial small subunit ribosomal RNA", at positions 338 to 795 of the family's 1533-position model. The record is from RNAcentral.